AGAGUUUGAUUCUGGCUCAGAACGAACGCUGGCGGCGUGGAUUAGGCAUGCAAGUCGAACGAGAAGCUUCAGCUUCAAUCCUUCGGGAGAGAAAUUGGAGUAGAGAGUGGCGAAAGGGUGAGUAACGCGUGGACAACCUACCUCGAAGUUGGGGAUAACUUGCCGAAAGGCGAGCUAAUACCGAAUGUGGUCCCUUGUCGCAUGGCGAGGUGAUUAAAGGUGGGGCUCCUUCGGGAACCUGCCACUUUGAGAGGGGUCCGCGUCCUAUCAGCUUGUUGGUGAGGUAAUGGCUCACCAAGGCUUACGGGUAGCUGGUCUGAGAGGAUGGUCAGCCACACUGGGACUGAGACACUGCCCAGACUCCUACGGGAGGCUGCAGUCGACGAUCAUUCGCAAUGCGCGAAAGCGUGACGAUGCGACGCUGCGUGGAGGAUGACGGCCUUCGGGUUGUAAACUCCUGUCAUCCGGGAACAACCAAUUCGGCGCUAAUAUCGCCGGGUCCUGAUAGUACCGGAAGAGGAAGCCACGGCUAACUCUGUGCCAGCAGCCGCGGUAAUACAGAGGUGGCGAGCGUUGUUCGGAUUUACUGGGCGUAAAGGGUGUGUAGGCUGUUUGGUAUGUCGGAUGUGAAAUCUCACCGCUCACCGGUGAAACUGCAUUCGAAACUGCCAGGCUAGAGUACGGGAGAGGAGAGCGGAAUUCUUGGUGUAGCGGUGGAAUGCGUUGAUAUCAAGAAGAACACCGGUGGCGAAGGCGGCUCUCUGGAACGUUACUGACGCUGAGACACGAAAGCUAGGGGAGCGAACAGGAUUAGAUACCCUGGUAGUCCUAGCUGUAAACGGUGUGAACUUGGUGUUGGGGGAGUUGAUCCCUCCAGUGCCGGAGCUAACGCGAUAAGUUCACCGCCUGGGGAGUACGGCCGCAAGGCUAAAACUCAAAGAAAUUGACGGGGGCCCGCACAAGCGGAGGAGCAUGUGGCUCAAUUCGAUCCACGCGAAGAACCUUACCAGGGCUUGACAUGUAGCUGCACGCCCGCCGAAAGGUGGGAAGCUUUCGAAGGUGCUACACAGGUGCUGCAUGGCUGUCGUCAGUUCGUGCCGUGAGGUGUUGGGUUAAGUCCCGCAACGAACGCAACCCCUGUGGUUAGUUGCCACCGUAGGUGAUGAGCCUACGAGCACUCUAGCCAGACCGCCCGUGCAAGCGGGAGGAAGGUGGGGAUGACGUCAAGUCCGUAUGGCCUUUAUGCCCUGGGCUGCACACGUGCUACAAUGGUCGGUACAGUGGGGAGCAAUACCGCGAGGUGGAGCCAAUCCUCAAAGCCGGCCUCAGUUCGGAUUGGAGUCUGCAACUCGACUCCAUGAAGUCGGAUUCGCUAGUAA
This 1379-nucleotide ribosomal RNA is filed under the name metagenome. RNAcentral's name for it is "bacterial SSU rRNA". It matches the Rfam family "Bacterial small subunit ribosomal RNA", at positions 8 to 1341 of the family's 1533-position model. The record is from RNAcentral.